AGGGGUAUAGUUCAGUUGGUAGAACGUUGGUCUCCAAAACCAAAUGCCGUGGGUUCAAGUCCUGCUACCCCUG
This 73-nucleotide transfer RNA is filed under the name Candidatus Epulonipiscium sp. RNAcentral describes it as "tRNA-Trp". It matches the Rfam family "tRNA". From Rfam's summary of the family: Transfer RNA (tRNA) molecules are approximately 80 nucleotides in length. Their secondary structure includes four short double-helical elements and three loops (D, anti-codon, and T loops). The record is from RNAcentral. Lineage: Bacteria; Bacillati; Bacillota; Clostridia; Lachnospirales; Lachnospiraceae.